CAGUAGCCACGGGAAUACGAAGGGUGCAAGCGUUACUCGGAAUUACUGGGCGUAAAGCGUGCGUAGAUGGUGGUUUAAGUCCGUUGUGAAAGCCCUGGGCUCAACCUGGGAAUUGCAGUGGAUACUGGGUCACUAGAGUGUGGUAGAGGAUAGUGGAAUUUCCGGUGUAGCAGUGAAAUGCGUAGAGAUCGGAGGGAACAUCUGUGGCGAAGGCGACUAUCUGGGCCAACACUGACACUGAGGCACGAAAGCGUGGGGAGCAAACAGGAUUAGAUACCCCCGUAGUCCCUGUCUCUUAUAC
RNAcentral lists this ribosomal RNA (301 nucleotides) under uncultured bacterium. Its description in RNAcentral is "partial 16S ribosomal RNA". It matches the Rfam family "Bacterial small subunit ribosomal RNA", at positions 509 to 807 of the family's 1533-position model. The record is from RNAcentral.